GACGAACGCUGGCGGCGCGCUUAACACAUGCAAGUCGAACGGAAAGGCCUGCUUUCCCUUGUGGAUUGCGGGUACUCGAGUGGCGAACGGGUGAGUAACACGUGAGUGAUCUGCCCCCAACUUGGGUAUAAGCCUGGGAAACUGGGUCUAAUUCCCGAUAGGACUGCAGGGUGGUGCCUGUGGUGGAAAACGAUUUUCUAGUGGUUGGGGAUGAGCUCGCGGCCUAUCAGCUUGUUGGUGGGGUAAUGGCCUACCAAGGCGGCGACGGGUAGCCGGCCUGGGAGGGUGGACUGCCGCAAUGAGACUGAGUUACGGCCCAGAGUACGACGGCGGGCAGCAGUGGGAAAUGUUGAACAAUGGGCGGAAGCCUGAUGAGGAGACGCCGAGUGAGGAAUGCCGGCCUUCGAGUUGUAAGCUCCUUUCGGCCGCGGGGAAGCCACCUGGUUGGAAGGGUGGUGACGGUAGUGGUAGAAGAAGCACCGGCUAACUACGUG
RNAcentral lists this ribosomal RNA (494 nucleotides) under uncultured bacterium. RNAcentral describes it as "partial 16S ribosomal RNA". It matches the Rfam family "Bacterial small subunit ribosomal RNA", at positions 28 to 507 of the family's 1533-position model. The record is from RNAcentral.